AGUGUGGGUAGAGGAAGUGACCGUGGAUGUAGACACAAAUCAGCAAGAAUUGUUCUGGUUCAAGAAAAGACACUCCAGCAGCCUGAAUAUUUGCUGACACAGCAGGUCUGUACCGGUCCCGUGUUUGAAGGAUAGUCUGUCUGACCACCGGGCCACCAACAACCACACCAGCAUCAGCAGGAUGACAGAACACAAGCUGAAUCAAAUCUGUCUCCACAUGACUCCCCGUAACCGCUCGUACUGUACCAUUACACAAACCUCAUAAUCGUUCUGAUUUAUGACCCUCAUGUGACACUGUAGAGUUUGGCAGGUGGCCUACGCUGCUCCAUCUUCAGCUUCCACCACAGAAAACACAAAGGCGUGCAUUUAGAUAUCCCUGGGGUCUCAGGUCAGAGGGGACGUUAAUGUAGCUGAGAGGACAUGAAAAGCAUUGAAGCCACAGACAGUAAGAUUAAUCCAACCACUCCAAAAUGACGCUUCGCCCGGAGGGAAAGGAAGGAUUAUGGCAAAAAAUAAAGUCAGUCUUUCCACCA
Molecule: long non-coding RNA, 533 nt
Organism: Notolabrus celidotus (New Zealand spotty)
Lineage: Eukaryota; Metazoa; Chordata; Actinopteri; Labriformes; Labridae
Exons: 2
Source: RefSeq, a predicted model, not a curated record